This 68-nucleotide transfer RNA is filed under the name Albinaria caerulea. RNAcentral describes it as "tRNA-Trp". Lineage: Eukaryota; Metazoa; Mollusca; Gastropoda; Stylommatophora; Clausiliidae. The record is from RNAcentral.
AAGUAUAUAUGUUAAGUUAAACAAAUGUCCUUCAAAGACAAAAAUAGUCAUAAUUAGGCUUAUACUUG